RNAcentral lists this ribosomal RNA (600 nucleotides) under Arntzia gracilis. Its description in RNAcentral is "LSU rRNA". It matches the Rfam family "Eukaryotic large subunit ribosomal RNA", at positions 375 to 858 of the family's 3401-position model. The record is from RNAcentral. Lineage: Eukaryota; Metazoa; Cnidaria; Anthozoa; Scleralcyonacea; Primnoidae.
UUUGAAAAGAGAGUUAAAAAGUGCGUGAAACCGUUGGAAGGGAAGCGAAUAGAGUUUGCAAUUCCGCGCUUGCUGUCGAUCUUUUCAGACGACGCUUGCACGCUUGCGAUGCGAGAUCGGUGCACUUCCGCCUGGCGAAAGUCAACGUCGGUUUGCGCGGAGUUAGAAAGCUGCGAGCAUGGUAGAUCUCUAGGCUUGCGUGCAAUUCGUGCAGACCGGUCGCAGCACGUACCUGCUGGUUGAUGUCUUCGUCUUUGAGACGGUUUACCGUCGCUUGGCGGACGGCUUUGCCUGUGCGUCGGCGUGCGGCCGCUCAAACGACGGGGGACGCAUACACCACGUGCUAAGGACGUUGACUCCUCGGCGGCUCUAUACGACCCGUCUUGAAACACGGACCAAGGAGUCUAACAUGUGCGCAAGUCUCAGAGUGAUCGAAACUCGUCGGGCAUAAUGAAAGUGAACGCAGCCUCGGCUGCAGAGAUGAGAGGCGUAGCGGCAUCAUCGACCGACCUAUUCUACUCUUAGAAAGGUUUGAGUUAGAGCGCACCUGUCGGGACCCGAAAGAUGGUGAACUAUGCCUGAAUAGGGUGAAGCCAGCGG